CCAAAUGAAAUCACUACAAGGUGGACUACGGUUACGAAGCUCAUCCCUCUACCCUGUAGACCAGAAUUGAUCUUCACAGGAACCUCUGUCAUGGGCAUCAAACCCGAGACCGGGAAGUUCUGCAGCCAUGCGGACUUCUGGGAUUCUAUAAAGAAGAAUGACUGCUUUUCUUUAGAAGGUUUGUUGGAUGAAUUCAAGCAGCUGAGGAUUUACAAAACUCCAGACUUGGAAACACCCAAAUAUGAUAUUCUAAAAAGAACUGCAAACUAUGAAGAUGAUUUGGAUGAUGGAAUCUGUUUAGGUACAUCUUUGGAAAGAACUCUAAAAUGGAGAAGAUACCGAUGACUACUCCGGUCUUCACUGAGGUAUCUGAUGCAAAACUUUCCAAAGUAUCCAUCAAAAUAUGUCUUCCACUGGACAAGGAUCCAGGCCGGACUUGGAGCUUUAUAUUAAGGAAUGAAUUGCUGAUAGGGCUGGAAGAGUUCACAUUGGACUAGCAUAUUGAACGCGUUCUUCGACAAACUCUCCCCAUUGAUCAUUUUUCCCUACACGCACAGUAAGAGUUUAUUUUCGGCUAACAAGGUACCAAAGGAGUUUGAUUUAUAGAACUAUGAUCUGAUACCAUGUAGAAUUAUGAGAUUAUAUUCAUAUCUUAAUGUACAUAUUUACACAAGUCAGUGACUUGAGAUAAAAGUAAGUUACUUGAUUUAUAAGAA
Molecule: non-coding RNA, 716 nt
Organism: Malus domestica (apple)
Lineage: Eukaryota; Viridiplantae; Streptophyta; Magnoliopsida; Rosales; Rosaceae
Source: RefSeq, a predicted model, not a curated record